GCCUGCCUCCUCUGGAAGCCAUCUCCUCUCAUUGCCACUCCAAACCCUCACCUUGAGCUGCACUCUUCUAGGGAAUAAGGCAGGCUGCGUCCCCAGCCCAUCUCCAUGAGCUGACAUCAGCUCUGCACAAGGGGCCAGGAUUCCAGAGCCACGGGACAAGGACGAGUUGUUUCCCUGCCUUGAGCCUCAGUUUCCCGAAGCCCUGUCUACACACCGUAGCAAAGAUGAGAUAACGCACUGCUGGAGGAAGUGAAUUGUCAGGCCGCCCACCCACUCGAAAGAUGUUACGCCCAUCCACACAGCCUUCUCAAGAGAGAGCUGGUGGGUCAAGCUAAUUGCUACUGAACUAUUGCUUUCUGCACCUGGUGCUCCAUCAGCCUGUGGUCAUCUUUGGAAUUGGAUGCCCUUGAGUCAGGCGCCCAUCCAUGUCCAACUGGGAUCUCAACUGCAGUCAGGCUGGGGUUCAGCUGCAGGCUCCAGCACACAGCCAGCAUUCCUGCUUCGGUCCUUCCACGGCACAGGGGAACGUGCAUAUGACUGAGUCUUCCUAGCUGCCGAGGAGGAGACGUGAGAAGCAAUGGAGGGGAAACUGAACAUGAGACAUUCGCCUUUCUGACCCCCACUCAUUUCAGCUGCCUGUCACAUCGCCGCAGGAUAGCAACUCUCCUGCGCAGCAGGCAUUCAGGAGCCAGGCCACACACCAGGAUCUGUCCUUCUAUCUAGCACCCUGUGCCUACUCUGAGGUUAGCAACAAGUGGCAACCUCUUCCUUCCUACAGACAAGAAGGUGACUGGCGCUUCCCAGCCCAUUAUUCCAGCCCACGCAGAGUGAGGUUAAUGGAACUGAGAUGAAGCUGGCUGGCGGGAGAGGGAGAGCCCUGAGGGGACCACACAGCUCAUCUUCCAUCCCUCAGCCUGCUCUUCCCCCACCCCAAGCUCUGGGCAUCUCUGUCCAAAGACAGAGAUGGGAAGGGCAGAGGGAUAAAGGGGUCUUACACUCUUACCAACAGAUUCUGCAGGGAGGGGUGCUGUCAGCUUGGUUAUCAUUAGGAAAGAUCAGUUUGUAAUGCCCUUAGACAGUUCUGUGAUUGGCUUGUGGGUACAGACGGAGGUAGACUGCUCAUCUCCACAAUGAAUCUGCUUCUUGGUAGGAGUGGUCCUAAAAGGGCAAGAGAGAAGGAGAGCGCCCACACGGAAUGAAUGGAUCUGGCAGCCUGGAUUCCAGGAAAGAUCUUUGAUGCCUGAGUAGAAAGUGCUUGAAGAGCUACAGACAGGGCUGAGGUCAGAGGUCAGAGGUCAGAGGUAAUCUGUAGUGGAAACAGGAGGUGAGAAAGCCUUCAUCUUCUAGAUGAACUGAGACCGGAACCGCAGAUUUCACAGAUGAAACUGGGCACGCUUCGUAACUCGAGCCCUGGGUAGAGCAUCACACUUGUUGAUCUGAAGGCCAUCCGGCUGCUCAGAUGACUUUCCUGCUGAUGAGGAAAGAAACACCCUCCCGGCUUCACCCCAUGACUUGUUGGGCAAUGGUGCAACACUGAGGUUCAUUGCAGUCUAAGAGACUCUUCCAUGAUCCCGCUCUUUUACCAGUCACAUCCUCCUACAUGGAAUAUACACAAUAUGCACACAC
Mus musculus (house mouse) is the source of this 1626-nucleotide long non-coding RNA. RefSeq annotates it as predicted gene, 36799. The transcript has 3 exons. The record is from RefSeq and is a predicted model, not a curated record. NCBI's taxonomy places the organism in Eukaryota, Metazoa, Chordata, Mammalia, Rodentia, Muridae.